Molecule: ribosomal RNA, 468 nt
Filed under: uncultured bacterium
Lineage: Bacteria
Description: partial 16S ribosomal RNA
Rfam family: Bacterial small subunit ribosomal RNA
Source: RNAcentral
GACGAACGCUGGCGGCGUGCUUAACACAUGCAAGUCGAACGGAAAGGCCCUGCUUUUGUGGGGUGCUCGAGUGGCGAACGGGUGAGUAACACGUGAGUAACCUGCCCUUGACUUUGGGAUAACUUCAGGAAACUGGGGCUAAUACCGGAUAGGAGCUCCUGCUGCAUGGUGGGGGUUGGAAAGUUUCGGCGGUUGGGGAUGGACUCGCGGCUUAUCAGCUUGUUGGUGGGGUAGUGGCUUACCAAGGCUUUGACGGGUAGCCGGCCUGAGAGGGUGACCGGCCACAUUGGGACUGAGUUCCGGCCCAGACUCCUACGGGAGGCAGCAGUGGGGAAUAUUGCACAAUGGGCGGAAGCCUGAUGCAGCAACGCCGCGUGCGGGAUGACGGCCUUCGGGUUGUAAACCGCUUUCGCCUGUGACGAAGCGUGAGUGACGGUAAUGGGUAAAGAAGCACCGGCUAACUACGUG